Mustela lutreola (European mink) is the source of this 1430-nucleotide long non-coding RNA. RefSeq lists it as uncharacterized. Lineage: Eukaryota; Metazoa; Chordata; Mammalia; Carnivora; Mustelidae. The record is from RefSeq and is a predicted model, not a curated record. The transcript is spliced from 3 exons.
CCAAGCAGGCUUGCGGAGCAGGGGACACGCUCUGCUGAGGCCCCAUCCUCUGCCGCACAAGGAGAGGAAGGGGACUGCUUGCUUACAACCUGUCCCACCCAGACGCCUCCCUGGGAUGCCAGGGUCCUCGCGGGCCCCAGGGAUGCAGAAGGCCUGUGUGCUUGGGUGGCCCUUGUCACAUGCCUCGGCUGGAGAAACAACAGGGAAGGAAACAGAGGCUUUGGCCGCGUGUAGCCUGCGUUCUCCAGCAGGGAGAUGGGAGCAAAGCUGGAGACCGUGCGGGGGGAGAACAGAAAGGAGCCUCGGGGGACACAAGGCAGAAGAUGGGGAGAGAAGAUAAACAAGAAGACACCAGAACCAGAAAAUGAGAAAGACAGAGACAAAAGAAAUCAGGCAGAAGACAAGACAGAGAAAAACGGAGAAGCAUGCAGACAUGCUCUGCGGACAAAUCAUUUCAUCUUUACCACCUGGGGAGGAGUGCUGGCCAACGUGAGUUUCCCACCUUCACUCUUCUGCAAAUGCAGACCAACUCCAAUAUCAGGUGUGAUGGCAUUCGGCUGCAUUUUACAUGGUUGGAUCUUUGGGGCUCUGCUCACUAGAUGAAGGUGAGUCCGUUAUCACUCCUCCAGUUCUGGAUGAAGAACACUGAGGCCCAGGAAUUCCAAGGGGGGGAGGAUUUGAACCUGGUACGUGGAUGCUAAGACCUGUUCCCUGCUCCUGCUUCCUGGUUCUCUGGGAAGGGAGGGAUGAGGCCAGGUUACGAGGUGGAACAGCAGCUCAAGUGGAAAACAAGCAGGAGUCAAGACAGAUAACAAGGUGGAGGGGAUGAGGUUGUGGAGCGGCAGCACAGGGCCUGCUGGGCAGGGCCAACUGGGCUGCCGGACAGAGGGAGUGGAGCGCAUCCACCACGGACGGCAUCCCAUGAGCCCCUGCACAGUGGGGGCUGUGACGGCGGCCAUCUCAUCUUGUCAACCACGUGAUGCUAUUAGAAAGACAGAGGUCCGGUCAUGCCCUCUGCCCAUAAGCUCCCAUGGCUCCCCGCUGCACACUGAGAAAACUUCAAGUCCUUGCAGUAGCCUGGGAGGUCCUGCCCUACCGGCCCCGCUCUUGCCUGACCUUGACUCCAGCUGGUCUCCCCACACUCACGUGCUCUGGACCUGCCCUCCUGCAAAGCUCUUCCCUGAGACCCCUGCAUGGGCCCCUCACUUUGCCAAGCUCUUUUUGAGGGAAGCCUUCCCUGACCAGCAUCUCCCCAACCCACUACCCUUCCCCUUUCGUGGUUUAAUUCUUACUUCCCGCAGCACUUAUCAUCGUCUAGUACGCCAUGUGUUGACUCGUUUGUUUAGUGUGUGGCAACCCUGCGAUAAUGUCAGCUCCAUCAGGACCAGGAUGUUGUCUGUUUUGUUCACUGCCAUGUCCCCGGAGCCUAG